GACGAACGCUGGCGGCGUGCUUAACACAUGCCAGUCGAACGGAAAGGCCCUGCUUUUGUGGGGUGCUCGAGUGGCGAACGGGUGAGUAACACGUGAGUAACCUGCCCUUGACUUUGGGAUAACUUCAGGAAACUGGGGCUAAUACCGGAUAGGAGCUCCUGCUGCAUGGUGGGGGUUGGAAAGUUUCGGCGGUUGGGGAUGGACUCGCGGCUUAUCAGCUUGUUGGUGGGGUAGUGGCUAACCAAGGCUUCGACGGGUAGCCGGCCUGAGAGGGUGACCGGCCACAUUGGGACUGAGAUACGGCCCAGACUCCUACGGGAGGCAGCAGUGGGGAAUAUUGCACAAUGGGCGGAAGCCUGAUGCAGCAACGCCGCGUGCGGGAUGACGGCCUUCGGGUUGUAAACCGCUUUCGCCUGUGACGAAGCGUGAGUGACGGUAAUGGGUAAAGAAGCACCGGCUAACUACGUG
RNAcentral lists this ribosomal RNA (468 nucleotides) under uncultured bacterium. Its description in RNAcentral is "partial 16S ribosomal RNA". It matches the Rfam family "Bacterial small subunit ribosomal RNA", at positions 28 to 507 of the family's 1533-position model. The record is from RNAcentral.